AGCAGCCGCGGUAAUUCCAGCUCCAAUAGCGUAUAUUAAAGUUGUUGCAGUUAAAAAGCUCGUAGUUGAAUUUCGGGGUCUGUCCAUUGGUCGGGCUUCACGGUCCGUACUGGUGUGAUGGGUUCCUACCUUCUGAAUAACCAGCAUGCCAUUUAGUUGGUGCGCCGGGGAAGCAGAGCUAUUACCUUGAAAAAAUUAGAGUGCUUAAAGCAGGCUAGUGCUUGAAUAGAUUAGCAUGGAAUAAUAAAAUAGGACGGCAUGGUUCUAUUUUGUUGGUUUCUAGGAUCACCGUAAUGAUUAAUAGGGAUAGUUGGGGGCAUUAGUAUUCAAUUGUCAGAGGUGAAAUUCUUGGAUUUAUUGAAGACUAACUUCUGCGAAAGCAUUUGCCAAGGAUGUUUUCAUUAAUCAAGAACGAAAGUUAGGGGAUCGAAGACGAUCAGAUACCGUCGU
This 450-nucleotide ribosomal RNA is filed under the name uncultured Glomeromycotina. RNAcentral describes it as "SSU rRNA". It matches the Rfam family "Eukaryotic small subunit ribosomal RNA", at positions 569 to 1021 of the family's 1831-position model. Lineage: Eukaryota; Fungi; Glomeromycota. The record is from RNAcentral.